This 253-nucleotide ribosomal RNA is filed under the name uncultured bacterium. RNAcentral's name for it is "partial 16S ribosomal RNA". It matches the Rfam family "Bacterial small subunit ribosomal RNA", at positions 524 to 776 of the family's 1533-position model. The record is from RNAcentral.
UACGAAGGGGGCUAGCGUUGUUCGGAAUCACUGGGCGUAAAGGGCGCGUAGGCGGCUUUAUAAGUCGGGGGUGAAAGCCUGUGGCUCAACCACAGAAUUGCCUUCGAUACUGUAGAGCUUGAGACCGGAAGAGGUAAGUGGAACUGCGAGUGUAGAGGUGAAAUUCGUAGAUAUUCGGAAGAACACCAGUGGCGAAGGCGGCCAACUGGUCCGGUACUGACGCUGAGGUGCGAAAGCGUGGGGAGCAAACAGG